ACGAAGAGUUUGAUCCUGGCUCAGGAUGAACGCUAGCGACAGGCUUAACACAUGCAAGUCGAGGGGCAGCACAGGUAGCAAUACCGGGUGGCGACCGGCGCACGGGUGAGUAACGCGUAUGCAACUUACCUAUCAGAGGGGGAUAACCCGGCGAAAGUCGGACUAAUACCGCAUGAAGCAGGGGCCCCGCAUGGGGAUAUUUGCUAAAGAUUCAUCGCUGAUAGAUAGGCAUGCGUUCCAUUAGGCAGUUGGCGGGGUAACGGCCCACCAAACCGACGAUGGAUAGGGGUUCUGAGAGGAAGGUCCCCCACAUUGGUACUGAGACACGGACCAAACUCCUACGGGAGGCAGCAGUGAGGAAUAUUGGUCAAUGGCCGAGAGGCUGAACCAGCCAAGUCGCGUGAGGGAUGAAGGUUCUAUGGAUCGUAAACCUCUUUUAUAAGGGAAUAAAGUGCGGGACGUGUCCCGUUUUGUAUGUACCUUAUGAAUAAGGAUCGGCUAACUCCGUGCCAGCAGCCGCGGUAAUACGGAGGAUCCGAGCGUUAUCCGGAUUUAUUGGGUUUAAAGGGUGCGUAGGCGGCCUUUUAAGUCAGCGGUGAAAGUCUGUGGCUCAACCAUAGAAUUGCCGUUGAAACUGGGGGGCUUGAGUAUGUUUGAGGCAGGCGGAAUGCGUGGUGUAGCGGUGAAAUGCAUAGAUAUCACGCAGAACCCCGAUUGCGAAGGCAGCCUGCCAAGCCAUGACUGACGCUGAUGCACGAAAGCGUGGGGAUCAAACAGGAUUAGAUACCCUGGUAGUCCACGCAGUAAACGAUGAUCACUAGCUGUUUGCGAUACACUGUAAGCGGCACAGCGAAAGCGUUAAGUGAUCCACCUGGGGAGUACGCCGGCAACGGUGAAACUCAAAGGAAUUGACGGGGGCCCGCACAAGCGGAGGAACAUGUGGUUUAAUUCGAUGAUACGCGAGGAACCUUACCCGGGUUUGAACGCAUUCGGACCGAGGUGGAAACACCUUUUCUAGCAAUAGCCGUUUGCGAGGUGCUGCAUGGUUGUCGUCAGCUCGUGCCGUGAGGUGUCGGCUUAAGUGCCAUAACGAGCGCAACCCUUGCCACUAGUUACUAACAGGUAAAGCUGAGGACUCUGGUGGGACUGCCAGCGUAAGCUGCGAGGAAGGCGGGGAUGACGUCAAAUCAGCACGGCCCUUACAUCCGGGGCGACACACGUGUUACAAUGGCGUGGACAAAGGGAAGCCACCUGGCGACAGGGAGCGAAUCCCCAAACCACGUCUCAGUUCGGAUCGGAGUCUGCAACCCGACUCCGUGAAGCUGGAUUCGCUAGUAAUCGCGCAUCAGCCAUGGCGCGGUGAAUACGUUCCCGGGCCUUGUACACACCGCCCGUCAAGCCAUGGGAGCCGGGGGUACCUGAAGUCCGUAACCGCGAGGAUCGGCCUAGGGUAAAACUGGUGACUGGGGCUAAGUCGUAACAAGGUAGCCGUACCGGAAGGUGCGGCUGGAACACCUCCUUU
Molecule: ribosomal RNA, 1522 nt
Filed under: Parabacteroides distasonis
Lineage: Bacteria; Pseudomonadati; Bacteroidota; Bacteroidia; Bacteroidales; Tannerellaceae
Description: bacterial SSU rRNA
Rfam family: Bacterial small subunit ribosomal RNA
Source: RNAcentral